CCUGAUCCAGCCAUGCCGCGUGUGUGAAGAAGGCCUUUUGGUUGUAAAGCACUUUAAGCGAGGAGGAGGCUACUCUAGUUAAUACCUAGGGAUAGUGGACGUUACUCGCAGAAGAAGCACCGGCUAACUCUGUGCCAGCAGCCGCGGUAAUACAGAGGGUGCGAGCGUUAAUCGGAUUUACUGGGCGUAAAGCGUACGUAGGCGGCUUUUUAAGUCGGAUGUGAAAUCCCUGAGCUUAACUUAGGAAUUGCAUUCGAUACUGGGAAGCUAGAGUAUGGGAGAGGAUGGUAGAAUUCCAGGUGUAGCGGUGAAAUGCGUAGAGAUCUGGAGGAAUACCGAUGGCGAAGGCAGCCAUCUGGCCUAAUACUGACGCUGAGGUACGAAAGCAUGGGGAGCAAACAGGAUUAGAUACCCUGGUAGUCCAUGCCGUAAACGAUGUCUACUAGCCGUUGGGGCCUUUGAGGCUUUAGUGGCGCAGCUAACGCGAUAAGUAGACCGCCUGGGGA
RNAcentral lists this ribosomal RNA (506 nucleotides) under bacterium KWD-1-10. RNAcentral's name for it is "bacterial SSU rRNA". It matches the Rfam family "Bacterial small subunit ribosomal RNA", at positions 382 to 879 of the family's 1533-position model. The record is from RNAcentral.